GAGCUUCUCCCGUUCGUCCGUUGACGUCUGGUCGAGUUUUCUCCUUCUCCGUUGGUGUCGAUAAACGUCGAGCUUCUCCCGUUCAUCCGUUGACGUCUGGUCGAGUUUUCUCCUUCUCCGUUGGUGUCGAUAAACGUCGAGCUUCUCCCUUUCGUCCGUUGACGUCUGGUCGAGUCUUCCCAGUUCAUCCGUCGUUCGUUGAUGUCUGGUUACCUCUCCGUUGGUCUUGGUAAACGUCGAGUUUU
Molecule: long non-coding RNA, 245 nt
Filed under: Lathyrus oleraceus (garden pea)
Lineage: Eukaryota; Viridiplantae; Streptophyta; Magnoliopsida; Fabales; Fabaceae
Description: Pisum sativum (pea) long non-coding RNA (PSAT_LNC029028)
Source: RNAcentral